Long non-coding RNA from Nerophis lumbriciformis (worm pipefish), 561 nucleotides. RefSeq lists it as uncharacterized. The record is from RefSeq and is a predicted model, not a curated record. Lineage: Eukaryota; Metazoa; Chordata; Actinopteri; Syngnathiformes; Syngnathidae.
AGGAAGACGCAAGAAACGUCGCCCUCACUCCAAGCAGCAGAUCCGAGAGUUGGAGAACGAAUUCCGGCUCAACGUUUACGUCAACAAGCAGAGACGCAUGCAGCUGUCUCGUCUCCUGCACCUCACUGACCGGCAGGUGAAGAUCUGGUUCCAGAACAGAAGGACGAAGGCGAAGAAUCUCAUGAAGGCGCGAGUGCGCCGCACGGUCUCGCCAGUCAGAUGCUGAGGUCACCAUUUUGGAGUGACAUCUUUAAAGCGUUGUCAUGACGUCGCUGCAGCAUCACAGCAGGAACUUUUGGUCAAAAACAGACGAAUGAGCAAAUGCUCCACACACAGAAGUGGUCCGAAACGCACACACCGAGUAAUACAACUGAAAAAUUCUGCAAUCACAUGCAUGCAGGGAAAAAACAACUGCAUGAGAGAAAUACUGCAAGUUCACAAAACAAAAUGAAGCCAUAGGCUGAUUUUUUUCUUUUCUUUUCUUUGAGUCUUUGUUAAAAACUGGCUGUAUAAAUGACAUGGUUGCUUUAAAAUACUGUAAAAUAUUACAAAACCAGUGAA